GAGGGAGAGCGUCGGGUGGAGGAACUGUUGUGGUGAUGUUGAGACUCGGCGAGGCGGACGCACAAUGACGGAUCCUUCCCAAAUAGAGGCGAUAGAAAGUGAAUAUAGACAAUUCGAACUCAAAGAUGCAUGGAAUCAAGAGUACCAGCGGAUACGAAGUGAAGGAAGUUACGAUUUACCUUGUACGGAAGCCAAAACACCCGCCAAUAGAAACUUGAAUCGGUACCGGGAUGUCCUUCCUUACGACCACACCAGAAUAGUUCUUAAGGACCACAACACUAGUUAUAUCAAUGCUUCUCUUGUUAAGGUAGAGUGUGUGAAUCGUUCAUACAUCUUAACCCAGGGGCCACUAUCACAUACCACUCCACACUUUUGGUUGAUGAUAUGGCAGCAGAAGGUUAAAGGUAUCAUCAUGCUCAACAAGAUUAUUGAGAAGAAUCAGUUAAAAUGUUACCAGUACUGGCCUUUGGGUGAGUGUGACGGUGGUGAAGACACUAUGGUGUUCUCAUCUGUGAACCUCAAGGUGGACCUUCUCAGUGUCAGUCAUCACACACACUACAAUUAUAGUACUCUAAGAUUAACAGAAACAUCAUCAGGAAACAGUCGCUUGAUUUUACAUUUCCAUUACACAACGUGGCCAGAUUUUGGUGUUCCUCAGUCACCUGAAGCAUUUUACAAGUUCCUAAAUGUUGUGCGAGCUAGUGGCGUACUAGAACCAGAUGUUGGGCCAUCUGUUGUUCACUGCUCUGCAGGAAUUGGUCGAUCAGGGACUUUCUGUUUGGUGGACUCUAUCCUCAUGAUGCUUUCCAAGGGUCUCUGUGGGUCUGGUCCGGGUAAAGUGAUCAAAGUCUUGCUGGACAUGAGACAGCAACGCAUGGGUCUUAUUCAAACUCACGACCAAUUGAAGUUUUCAUAUCAGGCUAUAGUUUAUGGUGCACACAAGCUCAGUGAAAUGAAUGGCAAGGAUCCAUGUGAAGAGAGCAGCAGUGAAGAGCCAUCGUUGGCAGACGAACUGCCCCCACAGCCUCCACCUCGCACAGAUUCACUCACACGUUCCAUGAUUGAAAGUCAGCUUGCGAAGGAGCUUGAGGAUGGUCAGGGAUCAGAUACAGCUCCAGAAGAAAAUGAUGAAGAUUAUGAAGAUGGAGAUGCUCCAGUCAGACCAUUGCCAGCAGAGCCACCCACAGAUGGUUCAGGCCCUGACACGUCUCCACCAACAAGCCCAGAUUAUCAUAAUGACUUGUGCAGUGAAAAUGAUGUUCGACGACGAAAACGACGGGAACGAACAGCAGCGACUGCAGCUAAAGUCAAAGCCAUGGUGGAAAAGCAGCGAGUCAAUGAGCAUUGGCAAGAUAGAAAGAGUGUGAAAAUAUGGUAUAUGAAUGCUGUACACUCAUAACCCACGCAAGCGUGGAAAAUGGCUGUAAAACGAUGAUGAGGGUGACUAAUACAUUGCUUAUCAGUCAGGAUGCAUUCUUGGAAAAGUCCAGCACGGAGAAGAAGGAGGAGGAGGAGGUGGAUGUCCCAGCUAAACGUUGUCGUCUCUAGCACUGUCAGGUGAUUAACCACUUAGCACGGCACAGAGCUCGUAACUUUCUUACGUCGAUCAAAAUACACAAGAUGUAGAGCCCACUAUAUUCUCAGCACAAAGUAUGCUGGAAGUUAGUCCCAAAGUUCUGAAGAAAAGUUUACUCGUAUGUAUGUGUAAAAUAGUACCGUAUGUUAAGAAGAUAUGACAUUCCAACAACUUUUGAUUAUUUUAAAGGAUUAGCCCAUGUAUUUAAUGUUAAAAAAUAUGUUGAAGAACUCAUAGAAAUGUGUAUAAUAUUAUUGUGUUUUGUAAUGUGGAACAAUAAAAGAUGAGUGUUAAAUUAUUUAACUCAUGAUUACAAUUAUCAUGGAACUUAAGUGUUGAAUAAUGUAGGGUGACACUGACAAUUAGGGAAAUACUGUACAGUAUGUACUGUACAGGACUGUAGUCACUCAAACAUAAAGAUUGAAGUGUCAUUAUGAAAACAAACAAAGCAGAUAGCAGUUUGAUAUUUGCUAAACAUAGGGUGCUCCUGUUGUUCAUUUCCAUCAUAAUUUCAAAUUUGUGUUUGUUGCAAAUCAUAAGAAAAUAUAAUUGUUGUGAUGUUAGGGCUUACCAUACUUAUCCCAGGGAUGCUUAGAUCAUUGCUAGAAUAACUGAAGUCACUUCUUUAAAGUGACAAAAUGAAACAGUUCACACAAUAAUAUGCGCAAUAGAAAAGGGUCAUACAGUCCAGCUGAAAAGGCAUGGAGUUAUAUACAGUAAGUGAAAUCUGCACUUGCCUAAAUCUUUACUAGUGUGCCACGUUUCCCUAUGCUCACUUGGCCAUCAUCAGUAUUGUGAAUGCUAAAAAGGACAGGUUUUUUAACCCCUUGAGUAGGGAGUCCUCUCUGAGCUAAAAAAAAAAAAAUUACUGGCUUUAGUGUCCCCAUUGUGCAGGUGCAGGUGUACUGUAUGAGCCAAAUAUCAAUACAUAUUAAUAAAGAGUUUUCUGGCAGUCAAAAAUAUCAAGUUGCUCUUCUCUUUUUUUUUUUCUAAGAAUGUAUCAAGGUAUGUGUAAUACUUUCUUGACUUGCAAACCCAUUCUUUAGAAGUAUUAUUACUGAUAUCCUCUUUCCUUGCAAUUUACUAUAAAUUCACUUUCUAGAGACUUUUGUAUCAUUCACUUCACCUGUGAUCAGGACUAAGCCAAAGUGCCCCUAAAGUACAGUCACAAACAAAAGUCCUGUUGGUCCACAAACCCCGAGAUUCAGAUUCAUGAAUCCAAAUCAUCUGGAUAACGCAUCAGUGUCUAUUGCUUCAGGUUCAAGAGUCUGAAUCUUGGAGUUCGUGAAGCAGCAGGAGAGGCGACAGGACUUUUGUUCAGAACUGUAGAUACAGUAUUUCAGAGUAGAACUCCAUUUUUUUAGACCACAAACCUUUAAUUUAAAGAAAAAUGCUUAAAGCUAAAGAGUACUGCACUCAGCUUAUCACAAGUUUGAGGAGGUUUCAUUUCAAAUAAUUAAUGUAAAAUACAUGUCCUUCAUGACCCCUGUUAAUUUAUUUAAUGAAAACGUUAGUGUUUUAAAUGCUACUGGGGAUUAAACAAGUAAGGGCAGCCUACUAGAUGUCUGUACAGUGUAUGCAUAGAGGGCACUUUGAGUAAGUGGAUCUCUUAAACUCAAAGUUUAUGAUCCUUUUUCUCAAAACCUUGUUUUUAUUAGAUGAUCCAGGGGAUUCUCAUUAAGGAAUUGAACAUUGUUUAAGACCUGUCUGGAAAGUAUGAGACUUAACUGUGCCAAGCAAUGUGAGGUGUGACUUCAUUGGUCAGAGUUUAGGGCCUAAAUAAACUCACGGAAGCUGUCUUAUGCACUACAGGUAGUAGGUUUUACGGUUUUCCUUCAGUUAUGAUUAGACACUCCAGAUGUACUGUAUGAGUAAGUUGCCCAAUUGACUUUCAACUUCCUGGUAUUGUGUACCCUGUUACUGGUAAUUCUGGUAAUGAGUUUCAUUUUAAGAGAAACAUUGGUCGUUGCAGCAAGUCACUGAUAAAUGUUGGAGAUGUGUUCUAGAAGUUUUGACACUUGUUUUUUUUUUCAUACAGUUAGUGGUAAGAUUGCAGAAUGGAUUCUCAGGCCAAAUUUUUGGACCCCUUAACCUCAUUUAAAUUUAAUUUAAGAAAAUUUUUGACAAAAAUUCAACAAUUUAAUACAGAACACAAAUCAGAUGCAUAAAUAGACAUUUAAGUGAACAUGGAUACUGUAUUGUACUUGCCAAAGUAAAACUGAGAUUAUGUACACCUUGGCAGGUGUAAUUGCAGGAUUACAGUACUGUACUUGCAGAAUAUUUACCAUUCACAUUUAAAGGGUCUUUUGAAAAACUGAAGCAAAUUCUUUAACGGAGUGCAGCUUCAAACGCUCCACUAUCAACAACAUUGCCACUUGACAUUUUGGGUACAGAGGUAUAAUACAGUACUGUACACAGUUUGAAUUUUUUUAAUGCUCACUAUGGCAAAAAUUAUGUUUUAUUGGACAGGCACAACUUAAUGAUGUACAGGUAUCCCUCGCUAUACAAAUAAUCUUUAUCCAAAUAUUUGCUUAUCUGAAUGCUCGAUUCUUACAUCUCACCUUGCUAUCUGAAGAUGACAUUUGCUUCUAUGAAUGUUGGUCCAGACAAAAAUUUAAAUUGUGUGUCAGUUGUGGCCUGGGAGUCAGCUGGGCAGCCAUUUUUCUCCAUUAUAUGCGCAAGAAUGUGCUCUCGCUCAAGGCAUCUGCUGUCAUCCCACAUCCUUUGUGUUCACUGCAAGUAAAGUGUUCUCUCUUUAUCCAGCUGCAUUCCUUUCGUGAAUUUGUACACACUGGCAUCCAAAUGUAGUGGUGAUUCCUCUGUUCCCCCCUUCCUACCCCUUGCCAAGAGACCCCACAAGCCUGUGUUGCUUGAAACCAAACUUGAGAUAAUCAAGCAUCAGGAGCAGGCAGGGGAAAACCCUAACAUAAGGCAGUGUACCAACUGUAUAUACCUGUGUUUUUUAUCUUUUUUUUUUUAUUGGUAUAAUUCCUAAAAUAAUGUUUUGGUAAUUGUGUACAGUAUAUAUUUUUUUUAUCAGCCACCAAACCCUAUUUUUUGCAUUUAUUAAUUGCUUCCCAAAUACAGGUACAGUACAGUAUUCGAUAACUGAAGGGCUUUCAAAGAAUGUAACCUAUUAUAGUUCAGAAUUCCUGUAUAAAAAAAAAUUUCCCUUGUUUUUUAACAGCAUUUUACUGAAACAACACAAAUAAAACCAAUGUAAAUUGGUAACUUGCUAUGUAAACCCUGACAUCAUGGCAAAGUUCUACUCAUGAUAUGCAACCCUUAACAACCCAUAGAAAUUACUUUCACAGAUUGAAACUUUUCUUUAUGUUCACAUCAUUAUAUAAAUGCUCUCUUUAGUCUUAAACUGGAAGUUAAGACUUUUUUUAUUUUCUUGAAUAACAAUGAAUUUGGGGCUCCAUGGAUCAUCUGGUAGUUGCUCAGGUCUUCCAGGUUAUGAGUGCAAGGUUUGAUCCAAUGGCCAGGUGUGGUUGGUAAGGCAUUAUUCUACUGUGAUGGCCACCAACUGCCAGUGCCCCAGGCUAAACCAAUACUUCUCACCUGGUUACAGUAUUACCAUCCUGCAGUGUUGGAAAUAUCAUAAAAGAUGUCUAACUGAAGAGUUACAUACUGUAAUUUUUAUUUUGUAUUUUUCUCAUGUAACUUACUGAAGAUGUUAGUAUCUUAUUGAAAUACAGUACCGUACUGUACAGUAUUUUACUUAGACCUCAGAUAGCUUAUAAUAUUAAUUUAUGUGCAAGUAGAGCAUAAAUUUAUCCACAAAGAAAUAAUUUUGACUUUUGGAGGAUAGUCCAUAUCCUGACGUCCAUAGUUAUUUUAUUCUGAGAUUAUGAUUCUUUUCGACUUUUGGAUAAGAUGGUUGUCACUAAGUGUUAUAAAGUAGUUACUGUACAAUAUUUCUUUAGGGAUAUUUAUACUUUCAAACAAAUGUGGACAUUUUCUGUACCCUGCACAGUAUUCUUGGGCGAAUUCUGUCUUUGUAUAGUUAUAGUUUAUCUUGUUUUAUCUACUUUAUGUGAAGCAUUUUGUUUUCAUCCCCCUCCUCCACAGUAUAAACUUAUAUGUGCCCAAGACUCAUUAAAAUAAUGUUAUAGACUCAUUAAAAUAAUGUUAUUGAGUCUAGUGAUGACCGAUGUAUGAUCUUCCAUAACAUGUCAGUAUAUCAGAGAUAUUUUCAUACCCCUUAUAUUACAGCAUUAUAGAUCCCCUUUGCAUUUCCCGUCAGGCCUUAUAUUCUUAAUAAUUGCCACAAUACUCCCCAGAUAAGUCAUGAACCAUUUUUAGCUGUAGAUAACUAAAUAUUGCAUACAUAACUAAUCUCCUUUCACACUUACUGUACUACCAUUGCUUUGAAGAUGAGAUUUUCUCAGUAAUGUCCGUCCAUAGAAACGCCUAACAUUUUUAUAGAUCUGAUUUAUGCAAGCAUUACCUCCCACAAGAACUCCUUGUUCAUCUUUAAUAUCUUUACUUGUAUUGUACCUGUAAUUCUCUCUUUCCUAUCUGCUUAAAUCUGUUCUAUCUAGUUAUUUAUAUACAUUUUUUUCCCCAUCAAUGACAGUCAGUCCUGCAGAUAACAUAGCUUUUUUACUACCCUAAACAUGUGGUACGUAAAACCUAAUAAUCCGGUAUUUGUAUAAUUUCUCUCAUUGUGCUGCACAGGAAGUCCCCGACUUAUGAACGUCCAACUUAUGAACGCCCGCCGAUAAGAACGGAGUUAAACUUGAAAUUUACAGUAGUACUGUAUUUUAUUUACCUGAUGACUUAGUUUUUACUUUCAUUUACUGUAUUUUGUCAAUGUAUUUCUUCUUUUGUCUUAAAUUAAUUGAUUUUAGAUGUUUAUAAGGACUUAGGCUAUGAUAUAGUGGGAUUUUAAACAUUGUUCUGUAAGUAUGGUAUGUAUAUAGCAUGUGUUCCAACUUACAUACAAAUCCGACUUACGAACGUCCUCAGGAACAAAACCCGUUCGUAACCCGCAGACCCCCUGUAUUAGGUUCUGAUAACUCGACCCUUUACCAUUAGUUCUCCAUUGUCAUCAACUGAUUUUUAACUUACCUGCAUGUGGUACAGAAGAGUUUAUGUUAUACUCCUGGCUUCAUAGUCAUUGCCAUUUGCAAUGUUAAACUUUUACAAAUACCUGUACAGUACUGAAAGUUUAUUAAUCUGUCAUAUUUUGGAAACCCUGUACCUGUACAGUACUAAGUCUCUGUAUCAGAACCGACAAAACCUGGGAUUUUCUAGGCAGGUUUUUUAUGCCAGAUUUGCUGUAAAUUUCAUUGUGUUAACUGUUUAACAAAUUUGAUUAUGGCAAUAUAAUGUACAGGUGUUAAGCACUAUUCAGUACAGUAGUACAUGUACAGUUCUUUGAGGCAUGUCAACACAAUUUUUUAUCAGAUUACAAAUAGUACCCUGUAGCUAUUUGGAAGCCAAUUUUCUGUCUUUUAAUUUCCAGAAGCUGUAGUUGGUAAAAGUGUACUCAAGUAAAUUUCUUAACAACUCUGAUAAAGGGCAGGUGUUUUCUUCAGAUUUACAGUGGGAAAGUGCGUCUUUUUUUUUAUCUUUGAAAUCGCCAAGACAUUAUCAAUGUGGUAACAUCUGUAUGAAUUUGAUUAUGUUGACACAUUGAUAGAGUGCUAAUUCAGAUUAUUAUUUUGGCAGCCAUUUUUCUUUCAUGGAAUUUCCAUAAACAGAGACUGUUGUUAAACAGAUUUUAUUUAUAUUUGGCACAUUUAUAAAGUAUUUCAGUAUAAUACUGUAUGUACUGUGAUGCAUAUUGUAGUUAUGCAAGUUAGACAUUACUUUUUCAGGUGUGAUAGAUUAAGGAAGUUAUGGUAUAUUGUACUUAUUGAAUCCUCCCUGAAGGGUAAUGCUGUACUUCUGCAUAAUUGACAGAGGCUAAUAAAUGAGUUAAGUUUUCCUGGUAAACCAUGGAUAAGAAAAGAUAUUUAAUGUACUUGUGAUAAUGUGUAGGUGCUUGCCUUCCUUGUGUAGACGUUGUAAAUACAGUACUGUACAGGUAUAAAGGAAGAUUUAAAAUGAAUGAAAUUCCACGAAUGAGAAGUGCAAGAUAUGGAGGAGAAAGAGGCUGGACUCUGACUAAAGAACUGUACAUGGAACACAGUGAAGUAUAUCAAUGAAUGAUGUGUAUUGCAACAUUGACUGAAAGGAGGGGGAUGGUGGAUAGGAUUUCACUGGCGAGCUGUGCAAUACCUCACUUGUAUUUAAUAAAAUAAAUGUUUAAAAUAAAAA
Molecule: unclassified non-coding RNA, 7846 nt
Filed under: Homarus americanus (American lobster)
Lineage: Eukaryota; Metazoa; Arthropoda; Malacostraca; Decapoda; Nephropidae
Description: tyrosine-protein phosphatase non-receptor type 2- like, transcript variant X1
Source: RNAcentral